UUCGUUACAUAAUCUCGGACCGGAGGAGCGGUGGCACAUGGCGGCGGAGCGGCGCUGGUGGUUCGCGUCCUGCGCCGGCAGUCGGGUCCCUUUACGGACGACCGGGGCCGCGACCCUUUCCCACUGUUCUCCCACGCGAUGGACUCGUUGGCGGGCCUUUCCCCGAGGGAAGUGGCCGGCGUGCUGAGCCUGUCCUGUGUUGGCGUGUGUUCCACAUGCGCUUGGGCCUGGCCACAUGGAAGUAUGCGAGACUUAAGAGCUCAAGUGACUAGUGGUCUCCUGCCAUUUCCAGAAGUGACUCUUCAAGCCCUUGGAGAAGACGAAAUAACAUUAGAAUCUGUGCUUCGUGGCAAGUUUGCUGCAGGGAAAAAUGGACUUGCUUGCUUGGCUUGUGGUCCACAACUUGAGGUAGUAAACUCUAUAACAGGAGAGCGAUUGUCUGCUUACAGAUUCAGUGGAGUCAAUGAACAGCCUCCUGUAGUUUUAGCUGUGAAAGAAUUCUCUUGGCAGAAGAGAACUGGAUUAUUAAUAGGAUUGGAAGAAACAGAAGGGAGUGUUCUCUGUCUUUAUGACCUUGGAAUAUCAAAAGUAGUUAAAGCAGUUGUUCUUCCUGGAAG
Molecule: long non-coding RNA, 617 nt
Filed under: Pan troglodytes (chimpanzee)
Lineage: Eukaryota; Metazoa; Chordata; Mammalia; Primates; Hominidae
Description: long non-coding RNA NONPTRT001540
Source: RNAcentral